Molecule: ribosomal RNA, 478 nt
Filed under: uncultured bacterium
Lineage: Bacteria
Description: partial 16S ribosomal RNA
Rfam family: Bacterial small subunit ribosomal RNA
Source: RNAcentral
GACGAACGCUGGCGGCGUGCUUAACACAUGCAAGUCGAGCGAUGAAGUUCCUUCGGGAAUGGAUUAGCGGCGGACGGGUGAGUAACACGUGGGUAACCUGCCUCAUAGAGGGGAAUAGCCUUCCGAAAGGAAGAUUAAUACCGCAUAAGAUUGUAGUAUCGCAUGAUACAGCAAUUAAAGGAGUAAUCCGCUAUGAGAUGGACCCGCGUCGCAUUAGCUAGUUGGUGAGGUAACGGCUCACCAAGGCGACGAUGCGUAGCCGACCUGAGCGGGUGAUCGGCCACAUUGGGACUGAGACGCGGCCCAGACUCCUACGGGAGGCAGCAGUGGGGAAUAUUGCACAAUGGGGGAAACCCUGAUGCAGCAACGCCGCGUGAGUGAUGACGGUCUUCGGAUUGUAAAACUCUGUCUUCAGGGACGAUAAUGACGGUACCUGAGGAGGAAGCCACGGCUAACUACGUGCCAGCCGCCGCCGUAA